GGCGCAUGGUGGAUGCCUUGGCAUCAGAGGCCGAUGAAGGACGUGGGAGGCUGCGAUAUGCCUCGGGGAGCUGCCAACCGAGCGUUGAUCCGAGGAUGUCCGAAUGGGGAAACCCAGCACGAGUGAUGUCGUGUUACCCGUAUCUGAAUUCAUAGGGUGCGGGAGGUAACGCGGGGAAGUGAAACAUCUCAGUACCCGUAGGAAGAGAAAACAAUAGUGAUUCCGUGAGUAGUGGCGAGCGAAAGCGGAGGAUGGCUAAACCGUAUGCAUGUGAUACCGGGUAGGGGUUGUGUGUGCGGGGUUGUGGGACCUUAUUUUCCGGGGCUACCUUCCUGGAGGGCAGUGAGAAAGUGUCGUGGUUAGCGGAAAUGGCUUGGGAUGGCCUGCCGUAGACGGUGAGAGCCCGGUACGUGAAAACCCGACACCUGCCUUGAUUUGUGUUCCCGAGUAGCAGCGGGCCCGUGAAAUCUGCUGUGAAUCUGCCGAGACCACUCGGUAAGCCUGAAUACCUUCUGAUGACCGAUAGCGGAUUAGUACCGUGAGGGAAUGGUGAAAAGUACCCCGGGAGGGGAGUGAAAUAGUACCUGAAACCGUGUGCCUACAAGCCGUCAGAGCCCUCCUUCGUGGUGGGGUGAUGGCGUGCCUUUUGAAGAAUGAGCCUGCGAGUCAGGGACAUGUCGCGAGGUUAACCCGUGUGGGGUAGCCGCAGCGAAAGCGAGUCUGAAUAGGGCGCUAAGUUCGUUGUAUUAGACCCGAAACCUAGUGAUCUAGCCAUGAGCAGGUUGAAGGUGAGGUAACACUCACUGGAGGACCGAACGGGUGUCUGUUGAAAAAGACUCCGAUGACUUGUGGUUAGGGGUGAAAGGCCAAUCAAACUGGGAAAUAGCUGGUUCUCCGCGAAAGAUAUUUAGGUAUCGCCUCGGAUGAAUACCUCAGGGGGUAGAGCACUGGAUGGGCUAGGGGGACUUACCGUCUUACCAAACCCAACCAAACUCCGAAUACCUGAGAGUACUAUCCGGGAGUCACACGGCGGGUGCUAACGUCCGUCGUGGAGAGGGAAACAACCCGGACCUACAGCUAAGGCCCCUAAUUCGUGGCUAAGUGGGAAAGGAUGUGGGACUCCCAAAACAACCAGGAGGUUGGCUUAGAAGCAGCCAUCCUUUAAAGAAAGCGUAACAGCUCACUGGUCUAAAUAAGGGUUCCUGCGCCGACAAUGUAACGGGGCUCAAGCCAUGUGCCGAAGCUGCGGAUGUGAUCGCAAGAUCACGUGGUAGCGGAGCGUUCCCUAGGCCUGCGAAGGGCGACUCGUGAGAGCGCCUGGAGGUAUGGGAAGUGCGAAUGCUGACAUGAGUAACGACAAACAGUGUGAGAGACACUGUCGCCGAAAGUCCAAGGGUUCCUGCGUAAAGCUAAUCUGCGCAGGGUUAGUCGGCCCCUAAGGCGAGGCUGAAAAGCGUAGUCGAUGGGAAGCAGGUAAAUAUUCCUGCACCAGCUGGAAGUGACGGAUGGCUUAACUCGUACCCACUUAUUGGAUUGUGUGUGCGGGGGCGUUGUCCCAGGAAAUAACUCCAGCAGAGACCGUACCCGAAACCGACACAGGUGGUCAGGUAGAGCAUACCAAGGCGUUUGAGAGAACUAUGCUGAAGGAACUCGGCAAAUUGCACGCGUAACUUCGGAAUAAGCGUGACUCAC
Molecule: ribosomal RNA, 1692 nt
Filed under: Gloeochaete wittrockiana
Lineage: Eukaryota; Glaucocystophyceae; Gloeochaetales; Gloeochaetaceae
Description: partial Bacterial large subunit ribosomal RNA
Rfam family: Bacterial large subunit ribosomal RNA
Source: RNAcentral